UUUCUGUCACUGAAGGCAUGGGGAGUCAGGAUUUUUACCUUCUGGACCAGCCUUCCCCACCACGUGCUGUGGGCCAUCCCUGCAACUUGGACUUAGGGCAGAAGUCUGUCCCCCUCUAUGUGGUCAAGAUGGAUGAAAGUUGAAGCUACCACGUGCAAACCAGGCUGAACAGCUGCUGAUUAUAUACAUGCUCUUGGGAAAACUCUUACCCCGGUCCCUGCAGGGUCAGAGGGAAUCCCUGCUUGUUCUAGCGCUUGGCUUCCUGGGCCUGACCUGACCAGAUGGAAAGUCUAGGGAAGGACAUCUGGACUCUUCUUGGUCACUGAGCCUCAACUCCACACAUCUUGGGGAUCUGCUGCCCCCAGAGCCAGGCAUCCGAAACCCCACAGUCUGCCUCCAAGUCAAUGAUACCCUGGCCUUCCUGGUGACUCAUGAGCAUUACCCAGAGUAUGACCUGGGCCACUUCUAUAACACACUGGAGCAAUAUGACUGGCGGCGCUUCCGGGCCCUGGCUGAGGAGUCCCAGCUCUAUGAGCAAAGCCUCAGCCUCUUUCUGCAGCAGUUCCAAAAGCCGGGCAUUUAUGUCUUUCGUCUGAGCAGCAACCGACAUCGGAAGAUGAUGCAGUGUCACAGCCUGAGCUGGGCUCGGAAGGCUGCUCCCCACCCCACCUUCAGGAGACAUCAGCAAGAAUGCAACCUCGAUGCCUACACUUCCCCAAGAACUGGGAUAAUGUCAAUAAGGAGAGGCCGAUCUCACCAAGACUCUGACGCCCCCAGGGUUGAGGGGGGUCCUGGUGGGAGCUGGGAGGCUGAGGAGCAGGUAGAUCUGGAGUGGUUUGACACAGAGGCCUUCUUUGGAGACUGCCUCAGGCAGUCUCUGUCAGUGACAGCCAAACUCAGCCACACGAAGGAAGAGCUCAAACUCCUCUACCUUAAACUUCUGGGUGAAGCCCGUUCUCUCCAGCAGCUGUGGGGAACAAGGCGCUGCCUCCCAGCCUCCGCUAACCGGCUUCUGAGGAGCGUGCAGAGGGAGCAGCAGCAGGGCAGUUCCCCAGCUGGACACGGUGCUGGGCCACCUGUCCCAGGUCGUGCUGCAGGAGGGCCACCGCCUGAAGGCCUGGGGCAUUCUGGGCACCGGCACUGGGGCGGAGCUACUGAGGCCAGCCCCAGCAGGCCCUCCUGGUGCUGAUGACAUCAGUGUGAACCCCGUCACCAAGUUGAUGGUCCCUGGCCCCAACUCCUUGAUGCUUCCAGC
This is a long non-coding RNA of Homo sapiens (human), 1255 nucleotides long. The record is from Ensembl. Lineage: Eukaryota; Metazoa; Chordata; Mammalia; Primates; Hominidae.